UUGCCCUUGACGAGAUGGCAUUAGCAGAGAAAAAUAUCAUUGUCCUCAGGUUUACACCGGGAGAGUCUUUCCCCUUACCUAUAGAAUAAUAGAAAUGCGCCCAAAAAUAACGGUACUCAGCUUGUUAGAUGGACUGGAGGGAGAGUCCAACGGCAACACCUUCCAAACAGUUAGAGGCUGUGAGAUGAACAAUUGCUUCCAGUUAAACAGUUCAUGACUUCCUUCUCCACAAGCACGUCUUACAAUUAAAGAAUGGGAUCACGCAUGUAGCCAAGCAAACAGGAGCCUGGUAGAGCUACUGGCAUCAACCUUUUGCUUCAAAGAAAUAUUUAAUGUUGCAUCUUGCUACAAAAAAGUAUCCAGUAACAUCCUCUAGAGAUCAGGAUUCACGAUCACCAUAAGCAAUCAAGUAUUACGUUGUAAGAAACAUCUUCAACAUGUAACGAGCAUGGUAUGGCAUGACAUCCUGAAUCCUGUGGGAGAAAGGAAGUCUUCCCUGGUUGGUUGACUAGCUUAGGAGUGAGGAUGGUUGUCUAGCAAGAGCACUGAAACUUCCUACGCAAGCCCAUCAUUCUAGUUCGCACUCUCCAAUUGCUUGUUAUCUUUUUUGCCCCUCUUCCGCUUCCGAACCCUCUUUCUCUUCGCCUCGCCAUCAGCUGUAGCUACCUGCAGAGCAGAUGUUGUCAUCAGUGCUUGGGUCCUGAUACAACUAAAAACGAGAGGCACAGCAAAGUUUCAACACUGUUGGACCUUAUAAUAAGUUGCAAAUGUUUAGUUAUAUUUACAUUUAGUUCAAUCUCUGAACAUACAUCAGAGAUCUGACAGAACAAAACCUGAUGUCACAAAAUGACGAGAGGUACAUAUGAUGCACGUGCCACAUUACCAAAGAAUACCUGGUUUUGAAUAACUGUGGGGAGCUUUGGUUUCUUCUUCUUACAGGAGAGUGGGUUAGGACCCUGCAUAAUGAUACUUUCAUUUAAUACAAGAAAUAGAUAUAGAGUAGUGAACUCAGUUGCUGCUGAUGCCUACUAGAUAACAAACACUGAAUAUAGUCAAUCAUCACAUGACAAAAGACACCAAAAAGGCAAUGACUCUAGAUAUAACCUUUGCUUUGUUCCUUUUAAACUUGCUUUUGUCAGUAACACCAAGAGCAUUUUUUACAAGAGAACUGAUAGGCCUCUCAUGUUGUUCUCCGUCACUUCCAUUUUCACUGGCAGCUGUUUUUCCUUCUGAUGCAGCCUUCAGUAACUUCUUGUAUUCAGAUAUAUCCAUAUUGAGACGCUUCUCCUCAUCCAAUUGAGCAAACUUGCGUUGCUGCACAGAGGGUUGUUCUAUGAAUAAGGAGUUCUUCAGACCAUAUAUCACAGGAACCCCAGGAAUCUACAUGGAAGCAGACAAAGUACAUGAGCAAAUUGCUGCGACCCAGACAAGGUCGUAGAUAUGAUCCACACGAUUUUCAUUGAAAGAAGCAGAGUUUACACACGACAGAUGAGGGUCGUCGAUACCUCUCGUAACUUUUCUCGAAGACCAGGAUCCUGGGUGGCAACGAAGAAAUGCUCAGGAUUUUUAUCACCUAUCAGUGACAUGACACAGUUCACGGCACUGACCACCUUGUCAUGCUCACACCUAGUAACACCGUGAAAUCCAGGAAAACACUGAGUCAAUGCAUCAUAAUUAGGCUCAUAUAGGUCCCAUAUGCAAAAUUCAAGCUGGAAAUGAAAGACUACAUUCGGGAAUGGCACAAAACUAAACGCACCAGCUACUAGAUUGUAAUGUUGCGUCAUGACACCUAAAACCAGUGAACAGGCCCUGGGCCAAACAACGGCUACCAAAAUGCAUCCUGAAGUGAUCCAAAUUCCAACUGCAGCAUAGGUUCCACUUCCAGACAACCAAAUUCGAUUGAACCAAAUUGGCUACUCAGACUCCAAGAUAGCAUGCAAGAACUAUAAUUUGGUUCUCUGAAGUAUGAACUUGAUAACUAUGUACAUUUCUGAAUUGAACUAUGUUCUAGGUUUUUCUUUGGCUUUGACAAAAUCAAAUUAAUACCACCGAGCCUCACAGCACAGCAAUACAAGUGCCGGAGCACAAGUCAAGGUGGAGCACAAUUGGAGGUUUGGGGCUGACAAAAAGGAAAGAAUGGCACUAGCUGCAACUGCGACGGUGACAGAACUGUGAAAAGAAUGAAACCUACUUGGUUGUGGCGAGCAGCUGCGCGUUGUCGAAGGAUUCGGCAUGUGACUUGCCGAGUCGCCUGAGCUCUGCGUUGAUGCACUUGGAGGUGAAGAGGGCUGGCGUCCUGGAGGCCGAGAGGAGGUCUCGGAGAGUCUCGUCGGCCGGGAGGAGGCGCUGGGUGAGGAGGUGGUGGACGAAGGUACCGUCAAUGAGGACCUUGUACGGCUCGCGGAAGCCGAAGCAGGUGGUGUAGAACUUGACCGCUUUGCGGUUCUUUGAGCGCUUCUUCACCCGCAUCCUGAUUACUGGGUGGGCGGCCGCAGCGGCGUGCGGCGACGGGAGGGCGGAGUCACGGAGGAGACGGCGGCGGCGUUAAGAACCGGCGAGUGGAGGCGGUGGUGAACGGGCAGGAAAGUAAAGCCGUGCUAGGGCUUUUGGUUCAUCACGCGGCUCCUCUGCUUGCUGGGCUGAACUGGGCCCCAUGGAAUCAGCGAUGACAAAGCCCACUUUAUGUCGCUGACCAACAAUCACAAUUUCUCUGAUAGGCCAAAAGGUUUGGUGGGCUUUUGAGACUAAGGCCCUGUUUAGAUUAGAGAUGAAAAUUUUUUGAGUGUCACAUCGCAUAUAUCGGAAGAAUGUCAGAAGAGGUUUUUAGAAAGUAACAAAAAAACAAAUUACAUAGCUCAUCUGGAAACUGCAAGAAAAAUCUAUUAAGCAUAAUUAAUCUGUUAUUAGCACAUGUGGAUUACUGUAGUACUUAAGGCUAAUCAUAGACUAACUAUGCUUAAAAGAUUCAUCUCGCCAUUCUCAACCAAACUGUGUAAUUAGUUUAUUUUUUAUCUAUAUUUAAUGUUCCAUGUAUGUGUCCAAAAAUUCGAUGGGAUGGAUGAAAAAAUUUUGAGUGGGGAACUAAACAGAGCUGCUCUAUAACGUUUUGCUGCAGAGCCGUUUUUUUAUGAAAAUCAGAGGAGCUAGAGCAGUUCAGGAGUCAUAAAUUCAAAGGAGCCCUUCAAGACACCUCGGCCUUGUUUAAUUCACUCCGAAAUCCAAAAAGUUUUCAAGAUUCCCUGUCACAUCGAAUCUUGCGGUACAUGCAUGAAGCAUUAAAUAUAGAUGAAAAUAAAAAUUAGUCACACAGUUUGACUGUAAAUCGCGAGACGAAUCUUUUGACCUUAGUUAGUCUAUAAUUAGACAAUAUUUACCACAAACAAACGAAAGUGCUACAGUUCCGAAAACUUUUCAGUUUUCGAACUAAACAAGGCCCUCCUCAAAGUCAGAGUCCGUUAGUUUGUCGGAUAACAGUAUUUUUUUUCCACAAUAAAUUAUAGUAUAACUUUUCAGACCGUCAGUUUGGCACGAAUUACAAAGUUGGCACUAGCAGCAGAAUGUUCGAGAUUCUACCGGAGCUCUUAGACCUUGUUUAGUUCCCAAAAAAUAUUGCAAAAUUUUUCAGAUUUCUCGUCACAUCGAAUCUUUAGACGUAUACAUGGAGUAUUAAAUAUAGACGAAAAUAAAAACUAAUUGCACAGUUUGAUCGGAAUUGACGAGACAAAUUUUUUAAGCCUAGUUAGUCCAUGAUUAGACAAUAUUUAUCAAAUACAAACGAAAAUGCUACAGUACCCAUUUUGCAAAAUUUUUUGCAACUAAACAAGUCCUUAACCUUUUCACAACAAGAAUUCUGAAAUCAAUAUUUUUUAUAGGCACAUGAAUGACGCGCCCAAACAAAAUAUUCGCCGCAGGUCGGUGACAUGAUCUUUCAGGCCGAGUAGGUGAACACCCACCCGUUUCCGUGGUGACGUCGUACGGAGUACUCAUUCCUGGUUGCACAGCCAGCAACAGACGGAACACCCUUCUCUUACUGACGAGUGGCGCCAGGAGAUCUCGGGCCCAAAGUGUCAGAGACUAUCACCUAACCGAGCCGCAACCGGAGUCGGUUCCGAGGCCCUGCGUGAUUAGCUUAACCACAGCUCCGGUUUAAACCGAAACCCACACUGCUAAUCGGCCAUCAGUUUACACAAAACGCAGGAUCGGCAUCGCCUCCCGGGCUGGGGGGCUUAACUCGAGUCGCUAAUCCUUUUCCUCGUAUCGCCCCGUCUCCAACCUCGCUCGCCGCCAUGGAAGGUUCGAAGGGGAGCGGAGGUGGCGGGGAUGGGGCCGGGCCCGAAAAGCCCAGCGCCGAGUCGAACCCUAGCCUGAAUCCGCCCCCACCUACCGCGGCGGCGACCGAAGCCACGGAUGACGGUGGCGCCGCGGCCGCGGCUGCGGCCGAGGCGGCCAGGCGGCCCUUCACGGCCCUCAGCCAGGAGGAGGCUGACCUCGCCCUCGCCCGCGUCCUGCAGGAGCAGGUAAGCGAUGAUAAGAUCUCGCGGCCUCGGGGCCCGCUCCUAGGGUUCCUUGCCCCCGGGCGAUUAACCCGUGCUUCGGAUCGGUGCAGGAGCGGGCGUACAUGUUGCUCCGGAUGAACGGGGGCGGUGGCGAGGGCAGCGACUACGGGAGCUCUGAUGCAGGGAGCUACGAGUACGACGAAGAGGGAGAGGAGGAUUACGAAGAAGAACUGGAGCACCACCUCCGUGUCCACCACCACGGGCACCCCUCGGGCGAUGGUGAGGGAGAGGGAGAGGGCGAGGCCGAGGGCGCCGAGGGGAGCGACUACGACGAAGAGUUCGAGGAGGACGAAGAAGGGGAGCCGGAAGUAGAUCCCGCAGAGUUUGAGGACGAUGAGGCUUAUGCGCGUGCGCUGCAGGAUGCUGAGGAGCGUGAGGUCGCCGCGCGGCUUAUGGCUCUCGCUGGUCUCAGCGAUUGUGAGCACAAAUGAUUCAUUGCCCCCCAACCCCAGCUCAGUUCACAAUUUAGUUGGUCGCUGGUUUGUAAUUUUGGCUUUCCCUUGCAGGGCGGACAGUGGAUGUGGAGCAUGAGGAGGACCAUGUGAAUGAUCCACAGGUUGUGAUUCAUCUCAUCUAGUUGCUGAAUUUUAUCUUUCUUGCUAGGAAAGGUCACUUGAGUUUGCAAUUAAUGGUUUCACAACAAACAAAAUGCCAUAGUCUGACCUUUGAUAAUUUCUGCGCCUGCAAACUAAUGGAGUUGUUCUUUGAUCAAUGCAACAUGCAUGAUGUUUCAUAACAGUCAUCAUGAUUUGUGCCAUAGCUUAUUGAUUCAGCUAAAAUAAUUUUGACUUGUUGGUUAUUGAUACCAUAGUACUUUCCUUUGAUAGAUUGUUGAUGUUAUGUCCUACCUGGAACACAGGAACACAUCUACUAUUUUUCUUUCUAAUAAAUUGAUGCAUUUUGAUUGUACAGAUUCUAGGGGUCUACCUUGACUUUUUUAGUGAAGGGAAUAUCAGCUGCUCAUUUAUAUGUUAGUUAAAUUGUAUUUCUCACUUAUUAAAAUGAAAUGAUGUUGCAGUGUGAGUUGCAGCUUAAAUGUUGAUUGUAAAUAAAACCACACUAGACUAAUGCCUCUUUGGAAGUGGUCUUGGAGACAUCUUGGCCAUUUAAAGAGCUGUCUAUAUGUGCAUGAAUUUUCUUCAUGAUGUUUUUGUUCUAUAAAAAAUUAGUAUGGAUUCAAUGCUAUUAAGUUAGAUUGCAUUUAUUUUUUCUUGUUUGGCUUCAACUGUCAAUGAUAUUUUUUCUAGUUUAGGAUCUAAAUAAGGAGUCAUAUCUACUUUUGCUGUUAUAGUUAUGAUUGGGUUUUCCUUUAGUAAGCUUGAAUUGUCUGCCCUUCUAGCAAUAAAAUCCAAAAGCAACAUAUGUCAUAUUUUUAUGAUUACUAGUCAGGUACUACUAUUGUCCUCAGUUUUGUAGGGAUGGUUCAUGGUUGGCAUAUUUCCCAGUUAUUCCUACUGUUAUUACAUAGGGGAAAUUUAUGUCAUUGUUCACAUAUUGGUCUUAUUUUCUCUUGUACUUGUUUUUAAUCAGUCAACUAUAAUGAAUGAUAAACAACUUACAUUUCUGUAUGCUUUUAUGAAAAUCCAGGAGGCAUGGCAAGAGGUUGAUCCAGACGAGUACUCUUAUGAGGCAAGUUACAUUGCUUGUUCUCUUAUCCUUAGUUCUCCAAGCUCCUCAUUUGAAGCUUCAUACAUCAAUAUGUGAUGUUAUGGUUCUCAUGUUGAUGUCAGGAGCUAGUCGCAUUGGGUGAAGUAGUUGGCACAGAAAACAGAGGUCUCUCUGCUGAUACACUUGCUUCUUUACCUUCAGUAACAUACAAGAUGCAAGAUGUUCAGGAUGGCAACACAGAGCAGUAUGUGCAAAUAAUUGAAGUUUUAUAGUUUUGUAAUGAUCUUUAUGAAGUCUUGAUGUAUCAUUAUUGUUGAUAGAUGUGUGAUUUGCCGCGUGGAAUUGGAGGAGGGUGAAUCUUUGAUUGCACUUCCCUGCAAGCACUUAUACCAUCCUGAAUGCAUAAACCAGUGGCUGCAAAUAAAUAAGGUAUGAUGGACCUUCAUAAGCUCCACAUAAUUGAAUGGCUAGAAAGUUCAUUUCAUUAACUCGUUGGUCCUUAAAUACUAUUGUGAUUCUAUGAAUUAUCUCAGACUGUCACACAAACAUAUACCUGGAGGAAUGUAUAGUAUACUAUGUUUGGUAAUAACUUCUAGUCAAAAUAAAAAGCUUAAGAAUUUUCUGUUGGCCGGUUUGUCAACUGUUGUUCUUAUUCUAGUUGUGCAGCUGUGUUUAGUUCAUCAUUUUUUCUUAAAAAAAAAAUGAUUGCAUAUGAAACAUAGAAUGUCAAUGGUAUUGAGGGUUGCAGUAAUAGGGCAGCAAUCUAUACAUUUGAAUAAGAAUAUUCUGUUAUUUGCUUGACAUAGUCCCUAGAUUUGUAAUCAUGGUCAAGAUGUCUGGUGCCGUUACAUUGUAUUAGACUGAAGUUGUGAGCCUUCUAGUCGUAAUGGAGCCUACAAUGUUCUGUCAUGGUCUAGUGAGGUUUUGGUUAACUGACGUUCCGUCAUGUUUCCAUGCGGAUUCAUGUAAUUUUGUUGUUGUGGUAAUGAAAUUUGGUUACACCAUGUGGUGGGGGAAAAAGAAGAUUUGAAAGCUUAGCAAUCAACAAAUCUUGGAAGCUGGUAUCUAAACCUGAUAAUGGUUUUGGCACAACCGGUUUUUUGUAGAUUGGUUUUUUUGUUGGGCCUAUUUGGUUUGGGUGCCACUGUGGCACUGCCACAUGACCUGAGCAGGCUUAUGGGUUGGUUGGGUCUGGGUUAGGAGUCACUGUGGAUUGGUUUGGAUCAGCUUCAGUCUAAGCAGUGCAGUCUCCUAGCAGUCUGAAACUGUGAAUCGAACCCAUCCAUACCCUUGGUCUUUGAUAUGCGCGUUCGGGUGCGGCGGAUAAGGCGCCGGCCGCCGGCGGGGCGAUAGGGACCCGGGCAUGUUGUGCUGGAGAUGAUCGGCGGCGUGAGGGAGCGGGCAGAGCAGAGGGCAGCGGCGGCAGCAACGUGGGCGUGUGCGGUGGCUGCGGCUAGCUUGGGGCAGGCGGGGCCUGGCGUGCUGGUGUGGUGGGCGAUGCCCUUCCAGCCGGCGUACGUACCGGCAGCUAGUAUCUGUCCAUGGCCUGGCUGAUGAAGAACAUGGACUUGCAAGGGUCCGCGGCGGACACGGUCAGGAGAGCUGACCGGCCGUUGUAGUUGCAUGAGGAGGCAUCUGGUGGCGGACGUGUUCUGCUGCCUGCUGCAUCUUGACGUCAAAGAGUACUGCGCUUCUUCCUGCUGCCGACGUCGUCGCUGAGUCACCAAUCGCACAUGCUGGCGCCCGCCUCGGCUGGGGCUGCAUCGCUGUAGUAGUUCGCAGUAGCUAGCUUGUUACUCAACUUCGUCGUAGGACAGGAAGCGGAAGCGGCAGCAACAUGCAGACAACUAGCAAGCGCCACAGAAGAGCCUAUCCAGGAACCUGACAUCACCGCACAUGGACACACGGUGGUGACGACCAUUGAAACAUUCGUUCACAGUUUGUUCACGGUUCUACUAUGGUCUGGAACCAUAGUUUAAAUAAAUAGUUUGGACUGUACAUACGGUCUGGUUGAGUUAGUUUUGGAGAAAAGAAGAAUGCUGUGGGGCGGAACGGGCUGACGUCUAAUUUAGAAAUGAUUGGUCUGGGUGGCCUGGUUUCCAGAUCAUUACCAGGUUUACUGGUAUGCUCACCAAUGGACACUUGGGGAUAUAUUAUCUAGGUUUUACAUGAUGUUUAGAGACAAGAUACCUCUAUACUUUGCCUGUGACUGGUUUCUCUUUAUUUAAUCAGUAUUGAGUUGUGAUACUCUUAAGUUGAUCAAGAAAACUUAGUGCCUUCAAAAGGUUAUAAUGUUUUAUGUAUCUAUGGAGGCUGGCAAAACCGCUGUAAUUGCUGCACAGCUGUAGUCAGGUCAAGUUUGAUGGUCUGCUUGACUCCUGUUAUCAUCUUACUUUCUGGCACAAUGACUAGCUAUAGGCUAGCUGUAUUCACUAUUCAUAUUGUCAGUCCGUCUCAGCAUUCCUACUAUGGCAGAUUAUGCUAUGUGGAUCCUUCCUUAUCUUGCAAAGUAAUAGGUUGUAGCUGUAUACAUAUUCUUCUAUAUAUUUCAGCGAUCCUGCAGGCAUCAUGCCAGGUCGAUCCCUACUUUGAAAAGUAAAUUCUAUUAUGGCCACCACCUGGCUUGAGUUAAUUUCAACAUGUUUUCCAAUCAACAUGAUGUGGAUACUUGUAAACAACAGUUUUCGUUGCUCCAAAAUGUGACAAAACACUCCCUGAUUCUUGCAGGUAUGCCCUAUGUGCAGUGCAGAAGUAUCAACCUCGGGCAACAAGGAGCCAUGACUGCUCUCAGAUGGCCAUCUUGGGCACUUGAUGGGAAUAACUAGCGGCACACUGCAGCAUCUGUAUUGUCGAAACAAAAGCAGAACGUUUUACAUACAUGCAAGGAGAUCAGGAAAUAAUCCUCUUGUCAGUC
Molecule: long non-coding RNA, 9078 nt
Filed under: Sorghum bicolor (sorghum)
Lineage: Eukaryota; Viridiplantae; Streptophyta; Magnoliopsida; Poales; Poaceae
Description: long non-coding RNA (SBIC_LNC003714)
Source: RNAcentral